This is a long non-coding RNA of Megalobrama amblycephala (Wuchang bream), 2569 nucleotides long. RefSeq lists it as uncharacterized. Lineage: Eukaryota; Metazoa; Chordata; Actinopteri; Cypriniformes; Xenocyprididae. The record is from RefSeq and is a predicted model, not a curated record. The transcript has 2 exons.
UUGAAAUGAGCUGUGAAGGAGGGGGGUUGUUCUUACGCAUGCGCUCAUUUCAAAAACUCACUAACAGUCUUUGGUUUCUCAGUCGACGAAAAGAUCCUCUUUAGCACCUUUAAUAAACCAUUGCUUUGUUAUAUCGGCCUUUUUCCUGCUAAAGCCGAUAUGCUGAUGGUUGUAAAUUGAGUAAAAAUCGACCGUGCAAUCUCACCGUCUGUAAAUAUUUAAAUAUAUUUAAAUAUUUUAAAUAUAUAAAAUAUUAUAUUUUACAAAAUGCAUUUUAAAUAAAGUAAAAUGAUAUUACUUAAUGAAGCAAUAUACUGAAUAAUAAUUAUACAUGUAAUUUACAAUUUAAUCACAGCAUCAAUUUUGGCAGAUAAAUGCUGAGUUUUUGAAUGAAUAAAACAAUCUCAAAAAGGGUAACAGCAUUAAACUUACAUUUACACUAAAUAUAACUUUAAAAAAAACUAGAAUAUAUUCUAAUUUAUACAACAAAGUUGACACUAUGAAUAUAAAGAUUAACUAAAUAUUAUUAUUCUACUAUAAAUAGAUGGUGAUUAUUAUUUUUUUAUCAGUUCAAUUACAUGAACUCUCCAAAUAAACUGAUUCACUAGAAUGAAUCAGAUUUUCCAGUGCUACAUAUGAGAACACGUCUGAUUAUUGCCACAACUCGCUCGGCAGUAAAACCGCAUGCAAAUUACAAUGUGACACUGAAAACAGCAAUGUAGCUUUGUGGUUGCACCACACUGCUGCUAGUGGAAAAGUAGCAGUGUUUUUGAAAACAACUGAGCUAUUCUGUCAUUGCUACUGUUAAAGGUAGUUCAUCGCUAAAUUUAGCCUCCAACGCUGCUGCUUUCCCCUCGAUGUCCCCUCCUUAGCAUUCCUGUUUGAAAUCCUAACAAGGUUAUUUAUUAGAAAAACAAUACAGUCAACAAGAAAGUAUCCUUAUAGUUAAUUCUGUCAUUAUAGUAGUAUCUAAAUGAUCCUGUUCUAAUUUAAGCACACAAAGCUGGAUUUAAGAUAUGAUAUUCUAAAAUUGUUUUAUCUCACUGCGGCCAAUAAGCAGAUUACCGUGAAUGUUCUACCUAGUAGCUGAGAGCUCAUUAAAGCAGAAACAAAGACUUGAUAGUGUCAGAGGCUGCAUAUAUUUUCCCCACAGAGGUCAUUAGGGUAGAUUAGCACUGUUCUGUUGAGAUAGAAACUCCAAUUCCUGCUCAUUUCAGCUCUGGCUGGGUUGCUGCCCAUGAGGAGAGGUUCAGUCAGGCUGCAGCGGCAACUGUGUCACCAUGGUUAGUCCGAGGCACACGGGCGUCCGUUACCUUGGUAACGGGAGGAUGGCUGGGACCGAGUGACAAGCUGUGUUAAUUCUUUCACCCGUGAACCCCAGAGGAUCAGCACCAUUUCUCUUCAUUUCCAUCGGAAUCUGAGACCCCAUUAAAACAGUCUGAUUUUCACCACAUCUCAGCUUAUUAGCACCACAGUUUCAUUCUUUUUAUUCCCCUGGAUUUCCUUAUUGGAUACAUCAGAGGCAAAGAAAGGGACCUGUGUGACAGCAGUUACGAUACUCAACCAUUAAGCGACCACCACCCAAGACAGGCCUGCGUGGGGCUGGAGGGGACAUGCGGUGAUAAAAUCAGAAUGGCUGCAGCUCCCAACCCGGCAGAGGUGAACCACAUUCGACGAUAGCAAAUCUGACAGAGCUGCUGUGUUGAUGCAUAUGACCCGCUACACCACAGAGCCCGGUUUUAUCGCACCGCAAAUCAAAUAGACCCGGCUACCAUGGAGCGUUUAAACCAUGUGGACACACAUAGACACACACCUUGACAUUCAAAUUCCCUCAGAAUUCUCCUCCCAUAGGUUUAUAUCUUCUCCGUGACGCUUGCCAGACGGUGAGAUUGCACGGCAGUCGAGCUGGGCCGAGGUUUAACAUUUCACAGAAGGUCAGUGAGCAUAGUGUGAUUUGAAAUCCAGCAGCUUUAUCUCUAUUGUAGACACCGGCCAUCUCCCCAUGAAUGCCACUGCCUUGCUGGGGCUCAGCUAAUACAGCAAAGCAUCCAGGCAUGAGAGUACAGGCUAAUCUAAUCCCAAUGACAGAGGCGCGAGCAGAGAAAAACGUCCGCACAACUCUCAAACACAUGUACAGGCAUAUCUCAACAGGAAACACAGGAGGAUGAUGGGUAACUGUAUCCUAGUCACCACGCUCAACCUGGGGCUGCAGUGUGAUGGAGUAAGUCCCUGUUGUUCAAGCGUCGGCUCAGGGCCUGCGGAGAAAACCCGGGAGACAGGAAAUUGAAUUUGCCAGUGUAUCGGUGACAAGGGAACACACAGUUAGCAGCUGAGUCCAAGGAUGCAGAGCCUCAAGGGGAGAGGACACUUAAUGAAAAUUAAGACACUGCUCAAACCCAAACCACUUAAUUCAGCUGAUCAGCAGGCCGCAGUUGGAUAUAAAGUUUAGAAAGUAAUAAUAAAGGUUCCAGUUAGAAACAAAAAGGGUUUCACUAGUUCAGUAGUCAUGUCAUUAAAGUAUGAUUUAAGCUCCUAAAAGAACUUCCUAUUCUCUGUUUUUUUUUUUGUU